AACGCGAAGAACCUUACCUACCCUUGACAUCCUCGGAACCUGGUAGAGAUAUCGGGGUGCCUUCGGGAACCGAGAGACAGGUGCUGCAUGGCUGUCGUCAGCUCGUGUCGUGAGAUGUUGGGUUAAGUCCCGUAACGAGCGCAACCCCUAUUCUUAGUUGCCAACAGGUAAAGCUGGGAACUCUAAGGAGACUGCCGGUGAUAAGCCGGAGGAAGGUGGGGAUGACGUCAAGUCAUCAUGGCCCUCACGGGUAGGGCUACACACGUGCUACAAUGGGCGGUACAAAGGGAAGCGAAACUGCAAAGUGGAGCGAAUCUCAUAAAGCCGCUCUUAGUCCGGAUUGGAGUCUGCAACUCGACUCCAUGAAGUUGGAAUCGCUAGUAAUCGCGGAUCAGAACGCCGCGGUGAAUACGUUCCCGGGCCUUGUACACACCGGAGUGC
RNAcentral lists this ribosomal RNA (441 nucleotides) under uncultured bacterium. Its description in RNAcentral is "bacterial SSU rRNA". It matches the Rfam family "Bacterial small subunit ribosomal RNA", at positions 958 to 1398 of the family's 1533-position model. The record is from RNAcentral.